UGGGGAAUUUUGCGCAAUGGGGGAAACCCUGACGCAGCAACGCCGCGUGGAGGAUGAAGUCCUUCGGGACGUAAACUCCUUUCGAUCGGGACGAUUAUGACGGUACCGGAAGAAGAAGCCCCGGCUAACUUCGUGCCAGCAGCCGCGGUAAUACGAGGGGGGCGAGCGUUGUUCGGAAUUAUUGGGCGUAAAGGGUGCGUAGGCGGUUUGGUAAGUCUGAUGUGAAAUCUAUGGGCUCAACUCAUAGUCUGCAUCGGAAACUGCCGGGCUUGAGUGUGGGAGAGGUGAGUGGAAUUCCCUGGUGUAGCGGUGAAAUGCGUAGAUACCAGGAGGAACACCUGUGGCGAAAGCGGCUCACUGGACCAUAACUGACGCUGAUGCACGAAAGCUAGGGGAGCAAACAGGAUUAGAUACCC
This 416-nucleotide ribosomal RNA is filed under the name uncultured bacterium. RNAcentral's name for it is "bacterial SSU rRNA". It matches the Rfam family "Bacterial small subunit ribosomal RNA", at positions 355 to 787 of the family's 1533-position model. The record is from RNAcentral.